UGUGUUUUGGUGAUGGUGAUGUGUUUGUACAUCUUACUUUACUGAACAUUCUUGCUGCUUACAAUUAUUUCUAUCUAUAAUGAACUUGGCCCAGUAGUUUCAGUGGAAAAUAUUAGUUAAAAUUUACAAAUUUUAUGAAAAUUGUUAAAAAUUGACUAUAAAGGACAAUAACUCCUUAGGAGUCAAUUGACCAUUUCCGUCAUGUUGACUUAUUUGUAAAUCGUACUUUGCUUAACAUUAUUGAUGUUUACAGUUUAUCUCUAUCUAUAAUAUUAUUCAAG
RNAcentral lists this long non-coding RNA (281 nucleotides) under Mytilus galloprovincialis (Mediterranean mussel). Lineage: Eukaryota; Metazoa; Mollusca; Bivalvia; Mytilida; Mytilidae. The record is from RNAcentral.